GAUGAACGCUGGCGGCGUGCCUAAUACAUGCAAGUCGAACGAAACUUCUUUAUCAUCGAGUGCUUGCACUCACCGAUACAGAGUUGAGUGGCGAACGGGUGAGUAACACGUGGGCAACCUGCCCACAAGAGGGGGAUAACACUAGGAAACAGGUGCUAAUACUGCAUAACCAUAGUUACCGCAUGGUAACUAUGUAAAAGGUGGCUGUACUACCGCUUUUGGAUGGGCCCGCGGGGCAUUAGCUAGUUGGUAGGGUAAAGGCUUACCAAGGCAAUGAUGCGUAGCCGAAUUGAGAGGUUGAUAGGCCACAUUGGGACUGAGACACGGCCCAAACUCCUGCGGGAGGCAGCAGUAGGGAAUCUUCCACAAUAGUCGAAAGCCUGAUGGAGCAACGCCGCGUGUGUGAAGAAGGUCUUCGGAUCGUAAAACCCUGUUGUUAGUGAAGAAAGUGCUUGAGAUUAACUGUUCACGUUUCGACGGUAUCUAACCAGAAAGCCACGGCUAACUACGUG
RNAcentral lists this ribosomal RNA (512 nucleotides) under uncultured bacterium. Its description in RNAcentral is "partial 16S ribosomal RNA". It matches the Rfam family "Bacterial small subunit ribosomal RNA", at positions 28 to 507 of the family's 1533-position model. The record is from RNAcentral.